This 253-nucleotide ribosomal RNA is filed under the name uncultured bacterium. RNAcentral's name for it is "partial 16S ribosomal RNA". It matches the Rfam family "Bacterial small subunit ribosomal RNA", at positions 524 to 776 of the family's 1533-position model. The record is from RNAcentral.
UACGUAGGGGGCUAGCGUUGUCCGGAUUUAUUGGGCGUAAAGAGCGUGUAGGCGGCCAUGUAGGUCCGGUGUGAAAACUCGAGGCUUAACCUCGAGAUGUCAUCGGAAACCAUUUGGCUAGAGUCCGGAAGAGGAGAGUGGAAUUCCUGGUGUAGCGGUGAAAUGCGCAGAUAUCAGGAAGAACACCAAUGGCGAAGGCAGGUCUCUGGGCCACUACUGACGCUGAGAAGCGAAAGCAUGGGGAGCGAACAGG